Cydia pomonella (codling moth) is the source of this 1117-nucleotide long non-coding RNA. RefSeq lists it as uncharacterized. Lineage: Eukaryota; Metazoa; Arthropoda; Insecta; Lepidoptera; Tortricidae. The transcript has 2 exons. The record is from RefSeq and is a predicted model, not a curated record.
UAGGGGAGAAGUGGCAUGAAAGAGCCAGGUUUUGAAAGAGCCACUUGCAUUAUUUCGGUAGUUUUAGAACAGAUUUGGUUGGCAAUAUUAUUUUUAGGUGGCAACACUGAUUUCCCGUCACCCACAAACAUUUGACAGUUCGCCGAAACCAACCGCCAUCGGUGCAUCGAGUCGAAGGUUUAGGCACUCAAAAAUAUUUCAAUAUGGAGAAAGUUGGUCCAAAAAAACGAAAAAGACCCAAUAAAUCGGGAAUUGAAGAGGCAGUUGCUGAAGUUUUAGAAAAGCGCCAGUCUAUAAAUAAAACUGCACUUGCCUUAAAUAUAUCGCGGGCUUAUUCAGCAAAAAUAGUUAAAAAAGCAAAGAAUACUGGUGAAUUACCAUAUAAACACUGUCCUAAUAUAGGAAAUAAGCGUAUUUUCACAUCGGAGCAGGAAAACAUGCUUGCGGAUUAUUUAAAGACUGCUUCUAAAAUGUGCUAUGACUUAACAAGGCAUCAAACUAAGAAACUGGCAUUUGAUUAUGCCAAAGCCAAUGAUAUUUGCCCAGAUAAAUGGAAAGAAGCCGAAACUGCUAGUGAUGAUUGGCUCAAAGGAUUUAUGAGCAGACACAAAGAUUUAAGUGUGAGAAAACCGAACCUGAACCUGAAAGCACUUCUCUAUCCCGUGCAACAUCCUUUAACAAAAUAAAUGUAGGAAUGUUUUUGAGAAAUUAAGCAUUGUUUUACGCAAACACAAUUUUCCUCCCCAUAUGAUUUUUAACGCCGACGAAACAGGCUGCAGUACAGUCACCAAUCCCCCUAAAAUCAUAGCUGAAAAAGGUUCCAAACAAAUUGGACAAGUAUCUUCAGCCGAACGAGGAACGUUGGUGACAACUCUGUUCUUUAUGUAGUUAUUUAUUUUUGAUAAUUUUCAAAUUACGCGUUGUUAUACUAACCGGCUCUUUCAAAACUUAUGGCAGCUCUUUCAAUACCGAGCUGUGAUGAAAGAGCCGAAUGACACAUUUUUUUGAAAUGCAUAUUUCGUUGAUUUUUAUAUAUUAUUUAAGAUUUUUUUGUACGAAAUUACGUACUCAAAUAAAUAAAGGAUAAUUUUUAAAAUAAAAAAUUACUUCUUUUUCA